This 347-nucleotide unclassified non-coding RNA is filed under the name Hevea brasiliensis (rubber tree). The record is from RNAcentral. Lineage: Eukaryota; Viridiplantae; Streptophyta; Magnoliopsida; Malpighiales; Euphorbiaceae.
AUAUCUUGCUGAAUCAAAGGGAGAUCCAAAAAGUAUGUUGUCUCGUACAGUAGCAUUAAAAAUCCAUGAAACUUGUGGAACAUAAGCAACUGUUCCCCUAAUAACAGCACUUGCAUCUGAUAUCGCAGGAAGCUCCCCAAGCAUUGCUGAAAUUAAUGAGGUCUUUCCCUCUCCAGUACUACCAACAAUUGCCACUAGGCUACCAAUAGGUAUAUCCACGUUGACAUUUGAUAACGUGGGCCUCUCUGCCUUUGAAUCCCAAGAGAAGUAUCCAUUUUUUAUUGAGAUGGCGGGUUGUCCUGUCUCAAGAGGAGGGUUUGGUAGAAGGAUCCUCUCUUCAGCCAGAA